Molecule: ribosomal RNA, 492 nt
Filed under: uncultured bacterium
Lineage: Bacteria
Description: partial 16S ribosomal RNA
Rfam family: Bacterial small subunit ribosomal RNA
Source: RNAcentral
AGUGAACGCUGGCGGCAUGCCUAACACAUGCAAGUCGAACGGCAGCCCAGUAACUUCUUGCUCUUACGGGGUGCGAGUGGCGUACGGGUGAGGAAUACAUCGGACUCUACUCUUUCGUGUGGGCUAUCGUAGGGACACCUACGCUAAUACCGCAUACGUCCUCCGGGUGAAUGCAGGGGAUCUUCGGAUCUUGCUCGAUUGAAUGAGCCGGUGUCGGAGUAGCUAGUUGGCGGGGUAACGGCCCACCACGGCGACGAUCCGUUGCUGGACUGAGAGGAUGAUCGGCGGCACUGGAGCGGAGACACGGUCAAGAGUCCUAAGAGAGGCACCAGUGGGGAAUAGUAGACAAUGGGCGCAAACAUGGUCCAGCCAGACCGCGUGGGUGAAGAAGGCCUUCCGGUUGUAAAGCCCGUUUUUUGGGAAAGAAAAGCAGCAGGUUAAUACGCAGCGAUACUGACGGUACCCGAAGAAAAAGCGCCGGCUAACUACGUG